AGUUGCAUGGCUAAAUCGGUAAAAAAAAAAAAGGAUCCUUCUAAUAAGGUGAGGGUUGUGAGUUCGAGUCUCACUGUGACUA
Molecule: non-coding RNA, 82 nt
Organism: Kalaharituber pfeilii
Lineage: Eukaryota; Fungi; Ascomycota; Pezizomycetes; Pezizales; Pezizaceae
Source: the annotation of a GenBank genome assembly